CAAAUGGAGACAUGAGCCUACUACGGGAGUCUGAUCCACAUUACUAGCAGGUUAUUCAAGGCAUCCUGGGUACAGAGGCUCAGCCAGCAUCACCCCAGCAUCAUUCUGAGAGCUUAAAUCAAGCAGACAGCCGGUUGCACAGAGCUGGGUAGGAAUGAGCUUUAGCAAAUGAACUAUUUUCAACUAGACUUUCCUUUGAUUUCCAAGGGCCAAAGCCUCC
RNAcentral lists this long non-coding RNA (220 nucleotides) under Gallus gallus (chicken). The record is from RNAcentral. Lineage: Eukaryota; Metazoa; Chordata; Aves; Galliformes; Phasianidae.